CAGGGAGACAACAAAAUGUUUAAUAUUAUUAUUUUGUCACCUUAGGUCGAUCGGUAUCUCACGUUUUUAAUUUAUUAAAAAUUUCAUUUCUUAAGUUUUUCUAGGUCACACCCAUUAUUUUUCCUGGGCCAUUAGCUCAGGUGGUUAGAGCGCACCCCUGAUAAGGGUGAGGUCCCUGGUUCAAGUCCAGGAUGGCCCAUAUCUCUAUGUUGGGGGUAUAGCUCAGUUGGUAGAGCGCCUGCUUUGCAAGCAGGAUGUCAGCGGUUCGAGUCCGCUUACCUCCACUGAUUACCACCUCUUCCAUAAUCUUUAGAAAGGAAAUGUUUUGAGUUGUGAUCAAAUUCUGAACGAAUCUAGCUUCCUAAUGUAACCAUUAAGAUGCUGGACUCAUUGAAUUAAUUUCAUUGUUUUCAGAGAACCUUGACAACUGCAUAGAUUAUUUUUAAAGACAAUAAGCAUCUUUGAUGAUGCAGAUUUAUUAUUUGUGCGAAUGCAUUAAUAACAAUUCUAUUAAGCUGAUGCUUCAAUUUUGAAGUUAUU
This 540-nucleotide transfer RNA is filed under the name uncultured cyanobacterium. Its description in RNAcentral is "partial miscellaneous RNA". The stretch from base 212 to 284 matches the Rfam family "tRNA". Lineage: Bacteria; Bacillati; Cyanobacteriota. The record is from RNAcentral.